Long non-coding RNA from Papaver somniferum (opium poppy), 911 nucleotides. RefSeq lists it as uncharacterized. NCBI's taxonomy places the organism in Eukaryota, Viridiplantae, Streptophyta, Magnoliopsida, Ranunculales, Papaveraceae. The record is from RefSeq and is a predicted model, not a curated record. The transcript is spliced from 2 exons.
GAUGCGAGAAUAGAAGAAGAAGAAGUUGUGUUUCAAAUCGAGAUUCUCUCCAAGUUCCUUCGAUUUCAAAUCUUGAUUCUUAUCAUUUUUUCCCUUCUUCAAUUCAGUUCAGUUCAAUCAAUUCAAUUUUGUUUUUAGGUUUUAGUUUUGAUUGGAAUAUUCGAUUUUAGGCUUAGAUCUCAAAUAUGAUUGGAGUGCAAUUCCAUUGCAAAUGAUUUCUAAAAGAGGGUUCUGGUGGAUAAAUCAAAUGAUUGAACAUGGGUGUGUAGUGUGACUGAUUGAGGGUUGGAAUCAGAUGAAGAAGAAAUGGGGUUUUCUGCCAUAAAAAAUCAGGGAAGAUAGGGUUUCCGCUGAUGUGUGAUUCAAGUUGCAAGUAACUAUCAUACGAAGAACAGGAAAUCAAAGAACAACACCCAGAUGUGUAAUUCCAUAAAACUCUUGCACCAAUCCAUAUUCUUCAAACUUCUUUUUGGGCAAUCGCAUCGAAUCUUAACUAUGAAUAUACAACUACCACCAUUUGGGAAAAAGAAAAUGAUGAUAGUGAAUCAGGGGCUGUUAAGGACGGGGUUUGUGUGUCCACUUUUAUGGUUACUAUGGGUCGAAAUCUGAAUAUAAAAGGUACAAGAGUGGUGCCUGCAAUAUUAGUUGCCAUGGUUCUGGUGUACGUUUGGAAGCCGGAGAUAACAUGGAACGAGGGUACGAUGUGGUUCAUGUAAAUGGCUCGAUGGUUUGCUGAUAUUGGUAAAGGAAUUGGUGUUGUUGCCAUCGUUGUUUGUCCGUUUAAGACUUGUGCUGCUGUUGUGAUUGAUAGUUAUGUAGGAGGGGGCAUUAGGCUGUGAACUAUAAUGUUUUUGUUUUGUUGCUUUUUUCAGAAUUGUUAUGAUACUUUAUAGUUUUAGUCGUUUUUGAGA